GCUGGCAGGAGGGGGAUGAUCCGCCUCACUUCUCCCACCUCCUGUCUCUCCUCCUCCCUGGGCCUGGACACACCUACUCCAACUUUCUCUCUGCAGCCUCCGGGCUGGGGCUGUGCCGAGAGCCUUCCUGCUCGGCUCCUCUGUACCUCCCUCUGGAGCCUUCAGCUCCAGGGACCCCAGCCCAGCACCCCCUCCUUUCAGGCACCCUCCCUACCUGAGGGACACAGUGUUUUGAGGAACCUCCUUGCUGUUUUCCAUCACGGCUGCUUACAUCACCAGCAACGUGCACGGAGCUUCUCUUCCUUCACACCCUCACCGGCACUUGUUGUCUUUAGUCUUUUUGAUGACAGCCAUCCUAAGA
This 361-nucleotide long non-coding RNA is filed under the name Cricetulus griseus (Chinese hamster). RNAcentral's name for it is "lncRNA (ENSCGRG00015040684.1)". The record is from RNAcentral. Lineage: Eukaryota; Metazoa; Chordata; Mammalia; Rodentia; Cricetidae.